This 277-nucleotide ribosomal RNA is filed under the name uncultured prokaryote. RNAcentral describes it as "partial 16S ribosomal RNA". It matches the Rfam family "Bacterial small subunit ribosomal RNA", at positions 355 to 623 of the family's 1533-position model. The record is from RNAcentral.
UGGGGAAUUUUGCGCAAUGGGGGAAACCCUGACGCAGCAACGCCGCGUGAGUGAUGAAGGCCUUCGGGUCGUAAAGCUCUGUCAGAGGGGAAGAAGUGCAGGGGUGCUAAUAUCACCUUUGCUUGACGGUACCCUCACAGGAAGCACCGGCUAACUCCGUGCCAGCAGCCGCGGUCAUACGGAGGGUGCGAGCGUUGUUCGGAAUUAUUGGGCGUAAAGCGCGUGUAGGCGGUUUGGUAAGUCUGAUGUGAAAGCCCCGGGCUCAACCUGGGAAGGG